Molecule: ribosomal RNA, 447 nt
Filed under: uncultured bacterium
Lineage: Bacteria
Description: bacterial SSU rRNA
Rfam family: Bacterial small subunit ribosomal RNA
Source: RNAcentral
GCCCAGACUCCUACGGGAGGCAGCAGUAAGGGAUAUUGGUCAAUGGGGGAAGCCCUGAACCAGCAACGCCGCGUGAGGGAAGACGGUUUUCGGAUUGUAAACCUCUGUCCUCUGUGAAGAUGAUGACGGUAGCAGAGGAGGAAGCUCCGGCUAACUACGUGCCAGCAGCCGCGGUAAUACGUAGGGAGCGAGCGUUGUCCGGAUUUACUGGGUGUAAAGGGUGCGUAGGCGGCUUGGCAAGUCAGUAGUGAAAUCCAGGGGCUUAACCCAUGAACUGCUAUUGAAACUGUCGAGCUUGAGUGAAGUAGAGGUAGGCGGAAUUCCCGGUGUAGCGGUGAAAUGCGUAGAGAUCGGGAGGAACACCAGUGGCGAAGGCGGCCUGCUGGACUGCAACUGACGUUGAGGCCCGAAAGCGUGGGGAGCAAACAGGAUUAGAUACCCCAGUAC